This 442-nucleotide ribosomal RNA is filed under the name uncultured bacterium. RNAcentral describes it as "partial 16S ribosomal RNA". It matches the Rfam family "Bacterial small subunit ribosomal RNA", at positions 338 to 795 of the family's 1533-position model. The record is from RNAcentral.
GCUACGGGAGGCAGCAGUAGGGAAUCUUUCACAAUGGGCGAAAGCCUGAUGGAGCAACGCCGCGUGCAGGAUGAAGGCCCUCGGGUUGUAAACUGUUUUUAUAAGCGAGACAUAUGAUGGUCACUUCUGAAUAAGGAUCGGCGAACUACGUGCCAGCAGCCGCGGUCAUACGUAGGAUCCGAGCAUGAUCCGGAGUGACUGGGUGUAAAGAGUUGCGUAGGUGGCAAAAUAAGUAGCUAUUGAAAUCUGGUGGCUCAACCAUUCAGACUAUUAGCUAAACUGUUAAGCUCGAGACCGUUAGGGGUAACUGGAAUGUCUAGUGUAGGAGUGAAAUCCGUAGAUAUUAGAAGGAACACCAAUAGCGUAGGCAGGUUACUGGGACGGUUCUGACACUAAGGCACGAAAGCGUAGGGAGCGAACGGGAUUAGAUACCCUUGUAGUC